RNAcentral lists this ribosomal RNA (1463 nucleotides) under uncultured organism. RNAcentral describes it as "SSU rRNA". It matches the Rfam family "Bacterial small subunit ribosomal RNA". The record is from RNAcentral.
GAUGAACGCUAGCUACAGGCUUAACACAUGCAAGUCGAGGGGCAGCAUUUUAGUUUGCUUGCAAACUGAAGAUGGCGACCGGCGCACGGGUGAGUAACACGUAUCCAACCUGCCGAUAACUCCGGAAUAGCCUUUCGAAAGAAAGAUUAAUACCGGAUAGCAUACGAAUAUCGCAUGAUAUUUUUAUUAAAGAAUUUCGGUUAUCGAUGGGGAUGCGUUCCAUUAGUUUGUUGGCGGGGUAACGGCCCACCAAGACUACGAUGGAUAGGGGUUCUGAGAGGAAGGUCCCCCACAUUGGAACUGAGACACGGUCCAAACUCCUACGGGAGGCAGCAGUGAGGAAUAUUGGUCAAUGGGCGAGAGCCCGAACCAGCCAAGUAGCGUGAAGGAUGAAGGCUCUAUGGGUCGUAAACUUCUUUUAUAUGGGAAUAAAGUUUUCCACGUGUGGAAUUUUGUAUGUACCAUAUGAAUAAGGAUCGGCUAACUCCGUGCCAGCAGCCGCGGUAAUACGGAGGAUCCGAGCGUUAUCCGGAUUUAUUGGGUUUAAAGGGAGCGUAGGUGGAUUGUUAAGUCAGUUGUGAAAGUUUGCGGCUCAACCGUAAAAUUGCAGUUGAAACUGGCAGUCUUGAGUACAGUAGAGGUGGGCGGAAUUCGUGGUGUAGCGGUGAAAUGCUUAGAUAUCACGAAGAACUCCGAUUGCGAAGGCAGCUCACUAGACUGUCACUGACACUGAUGCUCGAAAGUGUGGGUAUCAAACAGGAUUAGAUACCCUGGUAGUCCACACAGUAAACGAUGAAUACUCGCUGUUUGCGAUAUACAGUAAGCGGCCAAGCGAAAGCAUUAAGUAUUCCACCUGGGGAGUACGCCGGCAACGGUGAAACUCAAAGGAAUUGACGGGGGCCCGCACAAGCGGAGGAACAUGUGGUUUAAUUCGAUGAUACGCGAGGAACCUUACCCGGGCUUAAAUUGCAACAGAAUAUAUUGGAAACAGUAUAGCCGUAAGGCUGUUGUGAAGGUGCUGCAUGGUUGUCGUCAGCUCGUGCCGUGAGGUGUCGGCUUAAGUGCCAUAACGAGCGCAACCCUUAUCUUUAGUUACUAACAGGUUAUGCUGAGGACUCUAGAGAGACUGCCGUCGUAAGAUGUGAGGAAGGUGGGGAUGACGUCAAAUCAGCACGGCCCUUACGUCCGGGGCUACACACGUGUUACAAUGGGGGGUACAGAAGGCGGCUACCUGGUGACAGGAUGCUAAUCCCAAAAACCUCUCUCAGUUCGGAUCGAAGUCUGCAACCCGACUUCGUGAAGCUGGAUUCGCUAGUAAUCGCGCAUCAGCCAUGGCGCGGUGAAUACGUUCCCGGGCCUUGUACACACCGCCCGUCAAGCCAUGAAAGCCGGGGGUACCUGAAGUACGUAACCGCAAGGAGCGUCCUAGGGUAAAACUGGUAAUUGGGGCUAAGUCAUAACAA